AAUUUCGGGUAAUUGGGCGUAACUUAUGUUGCGUCAGGAAAGUCCAUGCUCGCACAGGCUGUGAUGCCUGUAGUGUUCGUGCUCAGUGAAAAAAUAAGCUGAGGUACCUCUUUGAGGUAACGGCGGGAAAAAACGGCUACGGUUUCGGCUAUGCCUGAGUAUCCCUGAAAAGUGCCACAGUGACGAUACCAGUUCGGAAACGGACUGGGUGGAACGCGGUAAACCCCUCGAGCGGGAAACCCAAACUACGGUAGGGGAGCUUCACAUAGGUAACUGAACUGAUUGUGGGGGAGGACUUUGUGUCCUGAGAUAGAUGAUUACCACGGAGUAAGCUGCGCCUGAGGCUUACGAUGUACAAAACAUGGCUUACAGAA
Molecule: RNase P RNA, 374 nt
Filed under: Furfurilactobacillus siliginis
Lineage: Bacteria; Bacillati; Bacillota; Bacilli; Lactobacillales; Lactobacillaceae
Description: Lactobacillus siliginis Bacterial RNase P class B
Rfam family: Bacterial RNase P class B
About the family: Ribonuclease P (RNase P) is a ubiquitous endoribonuclease, found in archaea, bacteria and eukarya as well as chloroplasts and mitochondria.
Source: Rfam by way of RNAcentral